This 446-nucleotide ribosomal RNA is filed under the name uncultured bacterium. Its description in RNAcentral is "partial 16S ribosomal RNA". It matches the Rfam family "Bacterial small subunit ribosomal RNA", at positions 338 to 795 of the family's 1533-position model. The record is from RNAcentral.
CCUACGGGGGGCUGCAGUCGAGAAUCAUUCACAAUGGGGGAAACCCUGAUGGUGCGACGCCGCGUGGGGGAAUGAAGGUCUUCGGAUUGUAAACCCCUGUCAUGUGGGAGCAAAUUAAAAAGAUAGUACCACAAGAGGAAGAGACGGCUAACUCUGUGCCAGCAGCCUCGUUAAUACAGAGGUCUCAAGCGUUGUUCGGAAUCACUGGGCGUAAGGGGUGCGUAGGCUGUUUCGUAAGUCGUGUGUGAAAGGCGCGGGCUCAACCCGCGGACGGCACAUGAUACUGGGAGACUAGAGUGAAGGAGAGGGAACCGGAAUUCUAGGUGUAGCAGUGAAAUGCGCAGAGAUAGAGAGGAACACUCGUGGCGAAGGCGGGUUCCUGGUCAUUAACUGACGCUGAGGCACGAAGGCCAGGGGAGCGAAAGGGAUUAGAUACCCCAGUAGUC